Molecule: ribosomal RNA, 253 nt
Filed under: uncultured bacterium
Lineage: Bacteria
Description: partial 16S ribosomal RNA
Rfam family: Bacterial small subunit ribosomal RNA
Source: RNAcentral
AACGUAGGGGGCGAGCGUUGCCCGGAUUCACUGGGCGUAAAGCGGGUGUAGGCGGUUCCUUAAGUCGGAUGUGAAAUCCUACGGCUCAACCGUGGAACUGCAUCCGAUACUGGGGAACUUGAGGACGGUAGAGGUCGGUGGAAUAUCCGGUGUACCGGUGAAAUGGGCAGAUAUCGGAUAGAACACCAGUGGCGAAGGCGGCCGACUGGGCCGUUCCUGACGCUGAGACCCGAAAGCUAGGGUAGCGAACCGG